AAUUGAACGCUGGCGGCAGGCUUAACACAUGCAAGUCGAGCGGUAACAGGGGGUGCUUGCACCCCGCUGACGAGCGGCGGACGGGUGAGUAAUGCAUAGGAAACUGCCCAGUAGUGGGGGAUAGCCCGGGGAAACCCGGAUUAAUACCGCGUACGCUUCGGGGGAAAGCAGGGGAUCUUCGGACCUUGCGCUAUUGGAUGUGCCUAUGUCGGAUUAGCUAGUUGGUGGGGUAAAGGCUCACCAAGGCGACGAUCCGUAGCUGGUCUGAGAGGAUGAUCAGCCACAUCGGGACUGAGACACGGCCCGAACUCCUACGGGAGGCAGCAGUGGGGAAUAUUGGACAAUGGGGGCAACCCUGAUCCAGCCAUGCCGCGUGUGUGAAGAAGGCUUUCGGGUUGUAAAGCACUUUCAGUGAGGAGGAAAAGUUGGUCACUAAUAUUGGCCAGCCUUGACGUUACUCACAGAAGAAGCACCGGCUAACUCCGUGCCAGCAGCCGCGGUAAUACGGAGGGUGCAAGCGUUAAUCGGAAUUACUGGGCGUAAAGCGCGCGUAGGUGGUUUGAUAAGCGAGAUGUGAAAGCCCCGGGCUUAACCUGGGAACGGCAUUUCGAACUGUCAGGCUAGAGUAUGGUAGAGGGUAGUGGAAUUUCCUGUGUAGCGGUGAAAUGCGUAGAUAUAGGAAGGAACACCAGUGGCGAAGGCGGCUACCUGGACCAAUACUGA
RNAcentral lists this ribosomal RNA (723 nucleotides) under gamma proteobacterium GWS-SE-H242b. Its description in RNAcentral is "bacterial SSU rRNA". It matches the Rfam family "Bacterial small subunit ribosomal RNA", at positions 26 to 743 of the family's 1533-position model. The record is from RNAcentral. Lineage: Bacteria; Pseudomonadati; Pseudomonadota; Gammaproteobacteria.